GACGUAGGAUGCAAGCGUUGUCCGGAAUUAUUGGGCGUAAAGAGUUCGUAGGCGGUAUAUCAAGUCUGGUGUUAAAGACCGAGGCUCAACUUCGGAAGAGCACUGGAUACUGAUAAACUAGAGUGCAGGAGAGGCAAGGGGAAUUCCCAGUGUAGCGGUGAAAUGCGUAGAUAUUGGGAGGAACACCGGUGGCGUAAGCGCCUUGCUGGACUGUAACUGACGCUGAGGAACGAAAGCCAGGGGAGCGAAUGGGAUUAGAUACCCCAGUAGUCCUGGCCGUAAACGAUGGAUACUAGGUGUUGCGGGUAUCGACCCCUGCAGUGCCGUAGCUAACGCGAUAAGUAUCCCGCCUGGGGAGUACGCACGCAAGUGUG
Molecule: ribosomal RNA, 374 nt
Filed under: uncultured prokaryote
Description: bacterial SSU rRNA
Rfam family: Bacterial small subunit ribosomal RNA
Source: RNAcentral